GAUGAACGCUGGCGGCGUGCCUAAUACAUGCAAGUCGAGCGAACGGACGAGAAGCUUGCUUCUCUGAUGUUAGCGGCGGACGGGUGAGUAACACGUGGAUAACCUACCUAUAAGACUGGGAUAACUUCGGGAAACCGUAGCUAAUACCGGAUAAUAUUUUGAACCGCAUGGUUCAAAAGUGAAAGACGGUCUUGCCGUCACUUAUAGAUGGAUCCGCGCUGCAUUAGCUAGUUGGUAAGGUAACGGCUUACCAAGGCAACGAUGCAUAGCCGACCUGGGAGGGUGAUCGGCCACACUGGAACUGAGACACGGUCCAGACUCCUACGGGAGGCAGCAGUAGGGAAUCUUCCGCAAUGGGCGAAAGCCUGACGGAGCAACGCCGCGUGAGUGAUGAAGGUCUUCGGAUCGUAAAACUCUGUUAUUAGGGAAGAACAUAUGUGUAAGUAACUGUGCACAUCUUGACGGUACCUAAUCAGAAAGCCACGGCUAACUACGUG
Molecule: ribosomal RNA, 497 nt
Filed under: uncultured bacterium
Lineage: Bacteria
Description: partial 16S ribosomal RNA
Rfam family: Bacterial small subunit ribosomal RNA
Source: RNAcentral